UUUUAAUAAACAUUGUAUUUUGCAUUGACUUGGAUGUAUGGUGGAUGCGCGCCUGAGAGCCAUGUGAUAUGCCAACUCAAUUAAUGAGUCAUCAUCCAACGCUUCUCCUUUUUUCUAAUUUUUAAUUUCUGAUUUCUAUUUUCUUUUAUUUCUUUUAAUUCCAUUUUAUUUCUAAAAUUCACAUCUCUUUCAUUAUUGGUCCAAAAAUUAUGGGACCAAUUG
This 222-nucleotide long non-coding RNA is filed under the name Lathyrus oleraceus (garden pea). RNAcentral describes it as "Pisum sativum (pea) long non-coding RNA (PSAT_LNC002048)". Lineage: Eukaryota; Viridiplantae; Streptophyta; Magnoliopsida; Fabales; Fabaceae. The record is from RNAcentral.